This is a long non-coding RNA of Equus asinus (donkey), 1664 nucleotides long. NCBI's taxonomy places the organism in Eukaryota, Metazoa, Chordata, Mammalia, Perissodactyla, Equidae. The record is from Ensembl.
CUGCAAAACAGUGAUUUUCCGUGAUCGCUAUCACAUCAAUCGAUGAUAAAGCCGUUGACAAACUACUUUCUGCAGUUUUUGAAAUUUCAACAUUACCCAAAAGACCUAAAUGACGAGGCUGUUUAGAGUUGAAAUCCUGCACAAUUCGCCCUAUUUUACCCUCGUGCUUCCCAAAGCCUCAAGUUAAAUGAGCCAAACCCACUGACUCCGCGCUCAGGAGCCACUCGGACGCCCUGAGCCCCGCCCUGUGCCCCCUCGGCCGGGCCUGGAGCCCUCGGUCCCUGAGGACAAACCUGCACAUCCUCCUCAGGGGGCGCGCGGGGCGGCCACACCUUCGUCAGUCAGCGCGUUCACGACGAGGAGCGCGAGCGGAGUCUGGUCCCUGCUCAGCGCCCGCGACUGUCGCCUGCCACACACGACCGGGGUCGGCGCCCUCACCAGGGUCCAGGCUCUGAGGGGCCGCUGCCGCCAACGUCCCCGCUGCCAAGUCCGCUGACGCCCAACGGUCGCCGCCGCCGCCGGCUCUGAGGGCCCUGGGGGAGGGGCUGGCCGCUGCGGCCCCGCCUCCAAGCGCCGACCACGCCCCCGACACGCCCACCGCGGACUUCCGGCUGGCGGGGGAAUCCGCUUCUCACCUCAGGGCCGGCUCCUUUAGCGCCCUCUCUGGUCACCAGGAGAAGAGGUGAGCAACACCUCAUUCCUUCCAGGUGUGGGAAAAUGUUCAGACUCCUCAUUCCAGGUGGGGAUCUUUUUCCUGCUGGAGAGGGUAGAAGUGCUGACUUCCCACCAGAGCUCCACCUUCCUUGGAUGGAAGAGGUGACCUCAAUAACAAGUGAAAAUGGUCUGCAUUCUGGAACACUCACAUACGGAAGAAGAAUCCAGAUGAACAGAAAGGACGAUGGCCCAGCAGCAGCUCAGUCUAUGCUUGUUGAUCAAUCACCUCCAUACACUCUAGUUCUGUAUCCACAUCAAGGAGGGCUCCCUGAGUGAUUCCUGAGCAACGCCACCAAUGACUGACAGUUACUCUGUGUCCCCCACACUCCCCAUGAGGGCCUGUUGGAGGAGCUUUCUCAUGAGAGGAUGGAGGAAGAGACCCCAUCUAACACCAAGGGAUCCCACAGUUUGAUCUUACACUGAGCCUGCAGAAUUUAUAUUCAGCUGUGCAGAUGUUUAAAAACUCCCCAGCCCUCCCACGUGACAGCACUAACAAGGGUACCAGGAAGAAACGCCAAGAGAGGAGCCUUGUGCCAACCUCACAAAGGCUUCAGGUUGACCUCAGCAGCUGUGAAGGGCCAAGCUCUGCUGUGAGCUGACUUUCUGAGGGUUCCUGGGAGGCUACUCCUGCCGAGCACUACAUGGGCCCGUGAACAGAGGGCGCGCCAUGGCAGGGCCCAUCCAGCAGUGGAAGGACCCCCUGCCUGCACCAACUUCCCUCACUGAAACCGUGGAACUCAAGAUGGAGGGCAGGGGAGGGGGGCAAAUGCAGAAUGUGGCAUUUAAACCUGAAAUGCGUGUGGAAUCCAGCAUUUGUAGAUUAAUUUGACUAGGUUAUCUUUUCUUUUUCAAGCAUGGAUAAAAACUUGAAAUAAAAAUGAAACAGCGCUCAUUGAAAAUGAAGAAAGUAAUAAAUUUGCAUACUUAGUUUUGUGGCAUUCACAAUCCAC